Molecule: ribosomal RNA, 275 nt
Filed under: Clostridioides difficile
Lineage: Bacteria; Bacillati; Bacillota; Clostridia; Peptostreptococcales; Peptostreptococcaceae
Description: partial 16S ribosomal RNA
Rfam family: Bacterial small subunit ribosomal RNA
Source: RNAcentral
AGCCGGUACAGGAUGGACCCGCGUCUGAUUAGCUAGUUGGUAAGGUAACGGCUUACCAAGGCGACGAUCAGUAGCCGACCUGGGAGGGUGAUCGGCCACAUUGGAACUGAGACACGGUCCAAACGCCUACGGGAGGCAGCAGUGGGGAAUAUUGCACAAUGGGCGAAAGCCUGAUGCAGCAACGCCGCGUGAGUGAUGAAGGCCUUCGGGUCGUAAAACUCUGUCCUCAAGGAAGAUAAUGACGGUACUUGAGGAGGAAGCCCCGGCUAACUACG